GCACAAGCAGCGGAGCGUGUGGCUUAAUUCGAUGUUACACGAAGAACCUUACCAGGGUUUGACAUGCAAGUGGUAGGAAGCCGAAAGGUGACCGACCCUUCGGGGAGCUUGCACAGGUGCUGCAUGGCUGUCGUCAGCUCGCGUCGUGAGAUGUUCGGUUAAGUCCGCUAACGAGCGCAACCCUCGCUGUGUGUUACAAGUGUCACACGGAACUGCCGGUCAUAAACCGGAGGAAGGUGGGGAUGACGUCAAGUCAGCAUGGCCUUUAUAUCCUGGGCUACACACGUGCUACAAUGGUUGGUACAACGAGUUGCGAGUCGGUGACGGCGAGCUAAUCUCUUAAAGCCAAUCUCAGUUCGGAUUGUAGGCUGCAACUCGCCUACAUGAAGUCGGAAUCGCUAGUAAUCGCGGAUCAGCACGCCGCGGUGAAUACGUUCCCGGGCCUU
This 446-nucleotide ribosomal RNA is filed under the name uncultured Leptolinea sp. RNAcentral's name for it is "bacterial SSU rRNA". It matches the Rfam family "Bacterial small subunit ribosomal RNA", at positions 923 to 1382 of the family's 1533-position model. The record is from RNAcentral. Lineage: Bacteria; Bacillati; Chloroflexota; Anaerolineae; Anaerolineales; Anaerolineaceae.